RNAcentral lists this transfer RNA (67 nucleotides) under Ictidomys tridecemlineatus (thirteen-lined ground squirrel). RNAcentral's name for it is "Spermophilus tridecemlineatus (thirteen-lined ground squirrel) tRNA". It matches the Rfam family "tRNA". Rfam says of the family: Transfer RNA (tRNA) molecules are approximately 80 nucleotides in length. Their secondary structure includes four short double-helical elements and three loops (D, anti-codon, and T loops). Lineage: Eukaryota; Metazoa; Chordata; Mammalia; Rodentia; Sciuridae. The record is from Rfam by way of RNAcentral.
GGUUGUGGCUCAGUGGUAGAGCGCUUGCUUCAAGCGUAUGAGGCACUGGGUUCAAUCCUCAGAACCA